RNAcentral lists this ribosomal RNA (119 nucleotides) under Pteropus alecto (black flying fox). Lineage: Eukaryota; Metazoa; Chordata; Mammalia; Chiroptera; Pteropodidae. The record is from RNAcentral.
GUCUAUAGCCAUGCUACCCUAAACAAGCUUGAUCCCGUCUAAUCUCAGAAGCUUAGCAGAGUCAGGCCUGGUUAGUACUUGGAUGGGAGACCAUCUAGGAAGACCAGAUGCUGUAGGCA